GAAAUGCGAGAAGUAAUGUGAAUUGCAGAAUUCAGUGAAUCAUCGAAUCUUUGAACGCAUCUUGCGCUCCUUGGUAUUCCAAGGAACAUGCCUGUUUGAGUGUCAUUU
This 108-nucleotide ribosomal RNA is filed under the name Inosperma cookei. RNAcentral describes it as "5.8S ribosomal RNA". It matches the Rfam family "5.8S ribosomal RNA", at positions 50 to 154 of the family's 154-position model. Rfam says of the family: 5.8S ribosomal RNA (5.8S rRNA) is a component of the large subunit of the eukaryotic ribosome. It is transcribed by RNA polymerase I as part of the 45S precursor that also contains 18S and 28S rRNA. The record is from RNAcentral. Lineage: Eukaryota; Fungi; Basidiomycota; Agaricomycetes; Agaricales; Inocybaceae.